Molecule: ribosomal RNA, 733 nt
Filed under: uncultured bacterium
Lineage: Bacteria
Description: bacterial SSU rRNA
Rfam family: Bacterial small subunit ribosomal RNA
Source: RNAcentral
CGCUGGCGGCAUGCCUUACACAUGCAAGUCGAACGGUAACAGGUCUUCGGACGCUGACGAGUGGCGAACGGGUGAGUAAUACAUCGGAACGUGCCCAGUCGUGGGGGAUAACUACUCGAAAGAGUAGCUAAUACCGCAUACGAUCUGAGGAUGAAAGCGGGGGACCUUCGGGCCUCGCGCGAUUGGAGCGGCCGAUGGCAGAUUAGGUAGUUGGUGGGAUAAAAGCUUACCAAGCCGACGAUCUGUAGCUGGUCUGAGAGGACGACCAGCCACACUGGGACUGAGACACGGCCCAGACUCCUACGGGAGGCAGCAGUGGGGAAUUUUGGACAAUGGGCGAAAGCCUGAUCCAGCAAUGCCGCGUGCAGGAUGAAGGCCUUCGGGUUGUAAACUGCUUUUGUACGGAACGAAAAAGCUUCUCCUAAUACGAGAGGCCCAUGACGGUACCGUAAGAAUAAGCACCGGCUAACUACGUGCCAGCAGCCGCGGUAAUACGUAGGGUGCGAGCGUUAAUCGGAAUUACUGGGCGUAAAGCGUGCGCAGGCGGUUAUGUAAGACAGAUGUGAAAUCCCCGGGCUCAACCUGGGAACUGCAUUUGUGACUGCAUGGCUAGAGUACGGUAGAGGGGGAUGGAAUUCCGCGUGUAGCAGUGAAAUGCGUAGAUAUGCGGAGGAACACCGAUGGCGAAGGCAAUCCCCUGGACCUGUACUGACGCUCAUGCACGAAAGCGUGG